AUGGGGCAUCUCCCCCCUUUUCUUUUUCUUUCGGCGGUGACUCAGUUCCGAUUAGGAAACAAGUGUUUGGCGAUGGCUUGUAAAAACUUUGCUGGCAGAGAAGCUAUUGGCACAACUCUGGAAGCAUUUUUUUCUGGCUCGAAUGCAAUCUUGAAAGCCAUCCAUAGGAGGAUGGCAAUGAAGAGUUCAUUGCUGGUGCAAAAACAUCAAGCAGAAGGAUGUGAAAAGGACCUCGGCCAUAAUGCCGAAAAGGACCUCGGCCACAGCCAAAGAGUUUGGCUGUGCUGCUCCUUAGGGGUCUCGGAAACUACGUCUCCCAGCUGCAAGGACACAGAGGAGAUAUCUUUCCAACAGGGAACUCCUGGCGCAUCUAACCAUGUGGCUCUAAAUGCAGUGCAUUGCUCUUGGGCCAGCGAUGCCCAAGAGCGGAGAAAACCUGCGUCCUUCAAAGGGCUUCUGCAAUCUCCUCUUAGCCGUCUCGCUCCUGGGCAUCUCGGCUACCAGCUGGACACAACGGUGUCCGACAGAGUCCUUCAACCUUCUGAGAGUCAUCAUGCAUCGCCUGGUAAGUGCGCAUUGUAAGGGAGAUGUUGCUGGAAUGGAGGGGAGUUUGCGCUUGGUGUGUCAAAACUCACCAAAAAACCUAGCAUGACUUGGGUGGUGUGUCACUUCGAGAAAAAAAACCAUAAUUUCACAAUAUGUAUAGUUUAAAUAACAAAAAUAUAUAAUUGUAAUAUAGAACUGUAUUUAAUAAAUCAAAAACUAUUUACUACCAUUAUUUCCAUGUACAACGAUCUAUGGUACCUCUUGCAGUUUCCACGCUGAUUUCUCUCUAUUGUAGUUUCAAUGUAGUCAUGAAUAAUGAAUAAUACAGUAGAGCAGGGGUCCCCAAACUUUUUAAACAGGGGGCCAGUUCACAAUCCUUUGGAACGUUGGAGGGCCGGACUAUAGUUGGCCACUGAGCAAUAAUAACAACAACAACAACAACAACAACAACAAAAAGAGAGAAGAAGAGACCCCUUGGGUCCAUUGAGUCCAUUCCCCUUCUGCCCUUGUGCUGUGGGGGCCGGAUAGAUGGUUUCGAUGGGCCGCAUCCCGCCCCCGGGCCUUAGUUUGGGGACCCCUGCAGUAGAGUCUCACUUAUCCAAGCUAAACGGGCCAGCAGAAUCUUGGAUAAGCGAAUAUCUUGGAUAAUAAGGAGGGAUUAAGGAAAAGCCUAUUAAACAUCAAAUUAGGUUAUGAUUUUACAAAUUAAGCACCAAAACAUCAUGUUAUACAACAAAUUUGACAGAAAAAAUAGUUCAAUACACAGUAAUGUUAUGUUUUAAUUACUGUAUUUAUGAAUUUAGCACCAAAAUAUCACGAUAUAUUGAAAACAUUGACUACAAAAAUGGCUUGGAUAAUCCAGAGGCUGGGAUAAGCGAGGCUUGGAUAAGUGAGACUCUACUGUAUAUCUAUAUAUAUAAAAGGGUAAUGAAAUUUCGGCCUAGGACAAAACAACAAAACUACACAUCCCAGAAACACUAAACUUGGCAGCACAACCCCUCAUCCAUGUCUCUACGUUGAUACAACAAAAAGAAAAGAAAAAUAAAGUCCUAAUUAGAGGGAGAGGAAUAAUUGUUUUUAUCCAAUUGCUGCCAGUUAGAAGGCUAAGCUCCACCCACUUGGUCUCCUAGCAACCCACUCAGCCCAGGGGACAGGCAGAGUUAGGCCUCACAAAUGAGAGUAGAUGAAUAGGUACUGCUCCAGCAGGAAGGUAACGGUGCUCCAUGCAGUCAUGCCAAUGGCCAUAUGACCUUGGAGGUGUCUAUGGACAACGCCGGCUCUUCAGCUUAGAAAUGGAGAUGAGCACCAAUCUCCAGAAUCAGACACGACUGGACUUAAUGUCAGGGGAAAACCUUUACCCUUUACCUUAACUACCACCAGUUCCUCAAUACUUUAUUUCCAAUACCACCAUACUUCACCACAGCAACGCGUGGUCGGGCACAACUAGUAUAUACAUAUAAAAGGGUAAUGAAAUUUCAGCCUAGGACAAAACAACAAAACUACACAUCCCAGAAACACUAAACUUGGCAGCACAACCCCUCAUCCAUGCCUCUACGUUGAUACAACAAAAAGAAAAGAAAAAUAAAGUCCUAAUUAGAGGGAGAGGAAUAAUUGUUUUUAUCCAAUUGCUGCCAGUUAGAAGGCUAAGCUCUGCCCACUUGGUCUCCUAGCAACCCACUCAGCCCAGGGGACAGGCAGAGUUAGGCUUCACUUAGGCCUUUUCCACACUGCCUAUAAAAUACAGAUUAUCUUAUUUGAACUGGAUUAUAUGGCAGUGUAGACUCAAGGCCCUUCCACACAGCUAUAUAGCCCAUUUAGAAUCUUAUAUUAUUUGCUUUGCACUGGAUUAUCUUGACUCCACACUGCCAUAUAAUCCGCUUCAGUGUGCAUUUUAUACAGCUGUGUAGAAGGGGCCUCAUAUAAUCCAGUACUAAGCAGAUAAUAUAAGAUACUUUAUUCCUAUACCACCAUACUUCGCCACAGCAACGCGUGGCCGGGAACAGCUAGUAAUAAUAAUAAUAUAAUAGUAAUAAUAUGAUAAUAUACAAUAAUAAUAGAAUGAGGUGUGUCAGUGCUGACAUGCGUGUCAUAGGUUGGCCAUCACUGCAAUAGUGUGAUACUGAAGCUAAAAAGGCCAAUGUGAUACUAGGUGGCAUCAACAGGAGUAUAGAUCAAGGGAAGUAAUAGUCCUGGUCUAGGCAUUUGGCCCAUCAUAGGAAUAUUUAAAGUUAAAGAGAAAGUUGAUAGUGCAAUGACCCAGGACUGUUUAUGGACAACAGCUAUGUCUUUGUGUGAUAUAUGACAUUAUUUUAUGUGCUGUGUUUAAUAGUGUUUAAUGUUUUAUUAGGGGAGGGUCAACUUUGAUGUUUUAUGCUGUUUUUUAUCGAGGGCAUUGAAUUGUUGCCAACACUGUGAACCGCCCUGAGUCCCCUUCGGGGUUGAGAAGGGCGGUAUAUAAAUACUGCAAAUAAAUAAAGAAAAAAAAUUAAAAUAUUCUAUUUUGCUCAGACUACACCUGGAAUAAUACUGUGAGUCUACACCAAAAAGGCCAAUGUGAUUCUGGGCGGCAUCAAUAGUAUAGAGUCCAGAUCAAGGGAAGUAAUGGUCCUGGUUUAUUCUGCUUUGCACAGACCACAAAGCACUCCUAACAGAUGGCCAUUCAGCCUUUGUAAUAAUAAUAAUAAUAAUAAUAAUAAUAAUAAUAAUAAUAAUAAUAAUAAUGAUAAUGAUAUGAGCAAGCCCAGAGGCCAUCCAGUCCAACCCCUUUCUGCCAUGCAGAAAAAGCACAAUUCAAGCACCCCUGACAGAUGGCCAUUCAGCCUUUGUAAUAAUAAUAAUAAGAAGAAGAAGAUGAAGAAGAAGAAGAAGAGCAAGCCCAGAGGCCAUCCAGUCCAACCCCCUUCUGCCAUGCAGAAAAAGCACAAUCCAAGCACCCCUGACAGAUGGCCAUUCAGCCUUUGUAAUAAUAAUAAUAAUAAUAAUAAUAAUAAUAAUAAUAAUAAUAAUAAUAAUAGGAACAAGACCUUUCUGCCAUGCAGGAAAAGCAGAAUCAAAGCAUUAUUUCAUUUGGGAGAAACGUAAAAUACUACUACACUUGGGAGAGCUUCUAUGGUGUCUUUCUGCAUUGCAGAAGGGGGUCAGACUAGAUGACCUUAGGGGUACCUCUGUAAUAAUAAUAAUAAUAAUAAUAAUAAUAAUAAUAAUAAUAAUAAUAAUAAUUAUAAUAAUAGGAGCAAGGCCUUUCUGCCAUGCAGGAAAAGCAGAAUCAAAGCAUUAUUUCAUUUGGGAGAAACGUAAAAUACUACUACACUUGGGAGAGCUUCCAUGGUGUCUUUCUGCAUUGCAGAAGGGGGUCAGACUAGAUGACCUUAGGGGUACCUCUGUAUAAUAUAAUAAUAAUAAUAAUAUAAUAACUCAG
RNAcentral lists this long non-coding RNA (3964 nucleotides) under Anolis carolinensis (green anole). RNAcentral's name for it is "lncRNA (ENSACAG00000039110.1)". The record is from RNAcentral. Lineage: Eukaryota; Metazoa; Chordata; Lepidosauria; Squamata; Anolidae.